CCCCUAGAUGUUCUGGGCCGCACGCGCGCUACACUGAACAGUUCAACAAGUCUUAACCUUGGCCGAUAGGUCUGGGUAAUCUUUGAACGCUGUUCGUGAUUGGGAUAGACCUUUGCAAUUAUGGGUCUUCAACGAGGAAUUCCUAGUAAACGCAAGUCAUCAGCUUGCAUUGAUUACGUCCCUGCCCUUUGUACACACCGCCCGUCGCACCUACCGAUUGAAUGGUCCGGUGAAAUCUCGGGACGGCGGCUUGGUCGCUUGCGUCCGACUGCUGAAACUUGAUUAAACCACAUCAUUUAGAGGAAGGUGAANUCGUAACA
RNAcentral lists this ribosomal RNA (320 nucleotides) under uncultured eukaryote. Its description in RNAcentral is "partial 18S ribosomal RNA". It matches the Rfam family "Eukaryotic small subunit ribosomal RNA", at positions 1470 to 1796 of the family's 1831-position model. The record is from RNAcentral.